CCUUUUUGUAUCUUCCACAGGAUCCAACAGAUUUCAGUGCUAGCUUGCUAACUGAUUUCAAUGACUACUGUCCACCUGUCAUAAAAUUCCAAGUAUCACAGUUCUCUAAAGGCACUGAUAGCACUUCCUAACCAUGCAAAGCUCCUGAAACUGUGAUUUAAAGCUUUUAGUGGAAUCUCAGAAUUCCUGAAGACUGUGUGAAAAUUGCAUAAAAUAUGGUGAGAUUAUGGAAGCCACAAUCCAUGUUACCACUAAGAGGCUGUGCAGUAUGGUGUAAGGUAAAGAGAAAGAACAUAACCUAUUUCAGUUUUAAAACCAUAACUCUGAAGUACUCUAGGUGUUCACAUGAUAACACAGUGUAAUAGCU
RNAcentral lists this long non-coding RNA (367 nucleotides) under Bos taurus (domestic cattle). RNAcentral's name for it is "long non-coding RNA NONBTAT016488". The record is from RNAcentral. Lineage: Eukaryota; Metazoa; Chordata; Mammalia; Artiodactyla; Bovidae.